Molecule: long non-coding RNA, 4697 nt
Filed under: Sus scrofa (pig)
Lineage: Eukaryota; Metazoa; Chordata; Mammalia; Artiodactyla; Suidae
Description: lncRNA (ENSSSCG00040053965.1)
Source: RNAcentral
AUUUGAUAUACAGAUAAGGUCUUCUGUCCUGCUUAUCUCUUUCUAAAAUUAUUAAGUGCUUUGAUGACCUUUUGAGGAAUAGUGUGCAAUUCUAAGUAGUGUUCAAACAGUGAAUGGCAGCACUUAAUAACAGCAGAAGGACUCAGGAAAUCCAAAGGAGCACAUUAGCAUGUCAUAAAGCUCUGGAAGUAAUUUACCUGAUUCUGAGACGUUAUUUAUACUCAAAGUGCUGCUUCCAUGAAAAGAGUAGAAAAUUAAACGACAAAAAAUUUGUUUAUUAUAGCUAAGACAUUUAAAUCAAAUAGCAAACCAAAAUUUGGGGAUUUUUUUUCAUAUUAGUUAACUUUUCUACCACCUAUUUAGAGCAGAUUCCUACACAUAGAAGAUGGCAUAAUCUGUAUGUGUCUUGCACCUACCAGGAGGUGAGCAGUUAUCCCUGUUGUCUUUGAAUCAAAAUAAAGCAAAAACCAAGAAAAGUCAUGACCAAGAGAAAAAUAAGACAUCAGUAUAGUUCAAAGGCUUUGCAUCACCAUAGGCAGCCAACAAAAAUUAGGUUAACUCUUCCUCAAGAAAACAAAUCUCAUUAGCCAGUAGUCCAUCAUAUAACAAAUUUUAGGAUGAGUAUUGAACUACUUACUACCUGUAGCCAUCAUCAGUUACCUUGGGAAUAAUCAUUCAAUGAAUGUAAGAAGAUAAAUCUAGAUGGUAUUUGUAUAAAACAAUGGGACUUUUCUUGCCCAUGUUAUUUUUUAAAAUUUUUUAAUUAAAAAAAUUUUUUUUGGUCUUUUGUCUUUUCAGGGCCAUACCCGCAGCAUAUGGAGGUUCCCAGGCUAGGGGUCUAAUCGGAGCUGUAGCCGCCGGCGUACACCAGAGCCAUAGCAACGCCAGAUCCAAACCCUGUCUGUGACCUACACCACAGCUCACAGCAACGCCAGAUCCUUAAUCCAAUGAGCAAGGUGAGGGAUCUAACCCUCAACCUCCUUGUCAGAUUUGUUUCCACUGUGCCAUGAUGGGAACUCCUCUAGUGUUAUUUUUUCCUUUCUCUGAAUAUUUAAUUAGUAGUAGCUUCUGUUCCCAUGACAUAUUGGGAUUCAUGAUAAGCCUCUGUCCAUGUACAAAUGCAUCACUAGACAGAAGGGUUAUCAACACAUGUAUUGUUUCUCUAUUUGUUUUUGUUAUAUAUGUGUAUUUGUGGUUCUAUAAUUCAUAAGACAUAUACAUAAAUAAGUGGUCAAUGCAAAGGCAGAAACAUAGGGCCUUAGGAACUUCUCUCUUUAUAUCCACCUCCUCUUUCACUCUACCUACUUUUUGAAAAUCCAGUUUCCAUGUCAUCACUUUUUAUUUUUUCCCCUUCACAGUUGAAUUUCAGCUCAUUUUCCCCUCUACUCAAUUCAGAUAGAAUCUAGAGGAUUGUACUAUUUUAUUUCUGUCCUUCGCUUCUAACUGUCCUUCUCUGCAGCAGAAAAGAGUCCAAGGAUGUGCUUAGGUAUCAUUACUGGAUUACUCUUCCCAAAACAGUAAUAAAAGUAUAGCUUAUCUUUUAGACCAACUGCAAGUUGGCUCAUUGUUUCUUAGCCAAUUGAUUGCAUUUUAUUCUCUGUCCUUCCCUGUACACAAAGUACCUCUAUGGUAUAAGAUGAGGGUAGAGACAGUUGAAGAGAAGUGUAAAAGUGUUUCCAUUUGUUUCCUACUGUUAGUAAAGUAGAAUGUUUUCAUUCAAUAAUCCUAGAGCACCUAGUGCUGUUUACUAACAUAAACUAAGUUUUCUUGUGAUUUUCUACCUGAAGAAAUCUAAGAUAUGAAAGAGACUAAUUGGAAGUAAGCAAAUCUGGACUGUUUUUUAAGUUCUUAAGUUCUAGCAAACUUGGAGAAGUUACUUAACUCCUUUGCAUCUGUUUCCUCUUCUGUAAGAUAAGUAAUGUAAUUGUUAUGUAUUACAGAUUAAUUUUUAAACUGAAGAACAUGUUAUGGUGGUAAUAGCAUGAUAUCUGAUGUUUACAUGUUGACAGUAAGCUAUAUUAUGUCAGAAAGACUGAUUUCUUUUUUUUAUUGGCUUAAGUUUUGAGUUAGUUCCCUUCUUGGCCAUCAGCUCUAACCAUAGACCUUCAUUAUAUCAUCCUGUAACAUCCUAGGUUUCUAUUAGAGGCUUCAAGGAAUUACUCCUAAAAUGUUAAUUAUGAAAGAAAUCUAUAGUAUAUACGGUCCAAAUCCUCUAAUGUUAUAUAUGAAGUAAUUAAUAUUUGGAUAAGUAAACAAGCUUUGUUUAGCUCUCAGACCUAGUGACUAACACAACCUGGGUUACACUUGAAAUUUUCUUACCUUCAAGUUAUGGUAUUGAUACUGCUUAUUAUAUAGGACUAUUCAAGUGAGAUGUUUGGAUGGGUUGAAAUGGUUGGGUUUAACAUGCUAAGUGUUAAACAUCUUUUAUAAAGUGACAUUCUAUGUUUGCAGCUCAAACAGGAUACACACGGAGCCCUCAGUAUCAGUCAUAGCUGAAAGGUUUUCUAGAACCUUAACAUAUGUUAAACAUUAAAGCUCUCUUACUAAAUCAGAGUUAUCUAGGGCCUAGCAAUUACAGCCUCCUGGUACUUCCAGGAAUACAUUAUCUUGCCCUAAUGGAGAGCAACUUAACCAAUGUUUCACUUCUUAAUUAGUCUUUGUUGGCCACUGAAGGGCCGAGGCUGAUGCUUAUGCUACCAGAUUCAUCUCUGGUAUUACUAAAGUCACUCUGAUAAACUCAACUAGUAAGACUAUAACAGUCUAGAUCUCAAAUGCAAUAAAGGAGCUCUACGGUCCAUCUAACCCCACAACCUUAAUUGCAGACACUCCUAUUAUAGUUUUCAUGGGGCAGAAGGAUUUUAAUUCUGUGGCUACCUAGGAACAUGGGGUGCUAUCUUGAAGAGAAAUUGUCCUUUCACAUUGCUCUGUGACAGUCCUCUAUUGUUUCUGUCUAUCACCCCAUUAAGAUGGCAACUUCAUUAGAGUAACAGUCUUAGGUGACUAAAAGUGCCCUAGGUGAAUAAUUGACUAGUCACAUAUUAUUAGGACAUAUUUCAUGCAAGACUGCGGCCUGAAGAUAUGUCAUACUUUGGAAAACUCAAUAUGAAACUAAACAAACUUUAACUUAUAAGCAAAUAAAUUGGAUAUCUGAGUUCCCAGUGGGAGGGCUGAUUAUUCAAAUUUUAGAGUUUUAUCACUUUAAAAAUGGUUCAGUACUGAGAUUCUUUAUAAAGUGCCCAUGGGAAUGUAUAUGUAACUUUCAUUAUUAAAAAUCCAAUAAACACAGUUGUUCAGGAAGCAAUCCAUUGUGCAGAGUAAGGCAUACAUACACAAUUUUUGGGUACUUCUUUUGGCUUAAACAUUGAGAAAAUCAAACCUUUGCAUACUAUCAGAAUUACAGAUUCAUUUGUGAUCCUUAUCAAUGGAUCAAGCCAAGAGCUGUGUAGUUUUUAAGAAGGUGGAUAUAUAUAGAGAGAGGUAUACUAUAUAUAUACCUCUAUUUGUUCAGGAUAAUCCCAGUUUAUAUAAGUUGUUUCAAAGCAAUUAUUAAUAGUGCCUCAAAAAUGUCCUAGUUUGGAUUAUGUGGUCACCUUAUUGUUAGAUUGCUUUACAAUGAAAUAAGCUCAUUGUUAGCUUGAAUACAGAAUGCCAUUACACAAAUAAAAUUCAGCUAGGACUAAAAGCAAAGCCAUUAGGACAUUCAUUCAUUAGUUCAUUAUGUAUUAUUCAAACUUAAGCAAGUAUUCCUUAGGCAUUGUGUGUCAAUAUUUUUUUUUUCUUUUUAGGGCUGAACCCAUGGCUUAUGGAAUUUCCCAGGCUAGGGGUCAAAUUGGAGCUGCAGCUGCUGGCCUAUGCCACAGCCACAGCAAUGCCAAAUCCAAACCAUGUCUGCAACCUACACCACAGCUCAUGGUAAUGCCGGAUCUUCUAACUCACUGAACAAGGCCAGGGAUUGAACCCACAUAUUCAUGGAUACUAGUUGCUUACCACUGAGCCAUAACGGGAACUCCAAUAAAUAUUUCUAAACAAUUUAUUGAGCCUUGAGGAUACCAAAGAUCCAAACGUGAUUUUGGACAAAGCAUAUAUGUAUGUUGUAUGUUUCAUUUAACAUUUAAUAAGAGAGAUUGCAAUUUACAUUGUAUAAAAAAAGGGAAUGGGUUUAUCAAGGUUUCGUAUCUUGCUUAUUAUUACACAGUAAUAUACAUGGAAAAAUUGAAAUUCAUAGGCACUCAUCAUUAAAAUUUUUACUUAUACCUCCAUGAUUUUACCGUUUAGGCGUAAUUGAGAGAUGCAUGAAAGGACCUUGUACUAGUAUAUGGGAGAGAAUGGAGAGAAAUGAUAAUGAAAAAGGAAUAGGUAGAGCCCUUCUCAAUGUAGCAGCUUUCUCAGCUCUUGGGACCAUCCAAUGGGAGGGCUUAUCUAGGUCCUACCAGGGAAAGUGGGACCCAUGUGGAUAUGCUAACAUGGAUAACAUCUAUCCAGCCCACUGAAAGAUCUGCAGUUACACAAGUACUUCAUCAUGUUGGGCUGUAUUUCAUUUACUGUUCAAAUCACCCUUCCCAAAGUUACCUCCUUUACUCCAUGGAAAUCCCUACCCUCUUGCCAACCCUGUCCUUCAGCCUUCAAAAGAAGAAUAUUAUUUCUGUAAAUGUGCAACUGUUUCUAAAAUUAUGAGUAAAGUACAAAAGAAACAGAAC